AACGAACGCUGGCGGCAUGCCUAACACAUGCAAGUCGAACGAGAUCUUCGGGUCUAGUGGCGCACGGGUGCGUAACGCGUGGGAAUCUGCCCUUUGGUUCGGAAUAACAGUUGGAAACGACUGCUAAUACCGGAUGAUGACGGAAGUCCAAAGAUUUAUCGCCAGAGGAUGAGCCCGCGUAGGAUUAGCUAGUUGGUGUGGUAAAGGCGCACCAAGGCGACGAUCCUUAGCUGGUCUGAGAGGAAGAUCAGCCACACUGGGACUGAGACACGGCCCAGACGCCUACGGGAGGCAGCAGUGGGGAAUAUUGGACAAUGGGCGAAAGCCUGAUCCAGCAAUGCCGCGUGAGUGAUGAAGGCCUUAGGGUUGUAAAGCUCUUUUACCCGGGAUGAUAAUGACAGUACCGGGAGAAUAAGCUCCGGCUAACUCCGUGCCAGCCGCCGCAGUAA
This 449-nucleotide ribosomal RNA is filed under the name uncultured bacterium. Its description in RNAcentral is "partial 16S ribosomal RNA". It matches the Rfam family "Bacterial small subunit ribosomal RNA", at positions 29 to 523 of the family's 1533-position model. The record is from RNAcentral.